UCCGUAGGCGGUGCGGCAAGUCGGAAGUGAAAUCUCAGGGCUUAACCCUGAGGCUGCUUCCGAAACUGCCGUGCUGGAGUGCGAGAGAGGCGAGUGGAAUUGCAGGUGUAGCGGUGAAAUGCGUAGAUAUCUGCAGGAACAUCCGAGGCGAAAGCGGCUCGCUGGAUCGCAACUGACGCUGAGGGACGAAAGCUAGGGGAGCAAACAGGAUUAGAUACCCUGGUAGUCCUAGCCCUAAACGAUCAGGACUGGGCGUGGGCCUCGUACGGGGCUCGUGCCGCAGCUAACGCGUUAAGUCCUGCGCCUGGGGAGUACGGUCGCAAGGCUGAA
This 330-nucleotide ribosomal RNA is filed under the name uncultured bacterium. RNAcentral describes it as "bacterial SSU rRNA". It matches the Rfam family "Bacterial small subunit ribosomal RNA", at positions 568 to 898 of the family's 1533-position model. The record is from RNAcentral.